This 231-nucleotide ribosomal RNA is filed under the name Francisella tularensis subsp. holarctica. RNAcentral describes it as "partial 16S ribosomal RNA". It matches the Rfam family "Bacterial small subunit ribosomal RNA", at positions 129 to 366 of the family's 1533-position model. The record is from RNAcentral. Lineage: Bacteria; Pseudomonadati; Pseudomonadota; Gammaproteobacteria; Thiotrichales; Francisellaceae.
CCCAUUUGCGGGGGAUACCAGGUGGAAACGACUGUGAAUACCGCAUAAUAUCUGUGGAUUAAAGGUGGCUUUCGGGCUGUCGCAGCUGGAUGAGCCUGCGUUGGAUUAGCUAGUUGGUGGGGUAAGGGCCCACCAAGGCUACGAUCCAUAGCUGAUUUGCGAGGAUGAUCAGCCACAUUGGGACUGAGACACGGCCCAAACUCCUACGGGAGGCAGCAGAGGGGACUAUGG